RNAcentral lists this transfer-messenger RNA (372 nucleotides) under Candidatus Shapirobacteria bacterium CG_4_9_14_0_2_um_filter_39_11. It matches the Rfam family "transfer-messenger RNA". Rfam says of the family: Bacterial tmRNA, also known as 10Sa RNA or SsrA, is named for its dual tRNA and mRNA-like properties. Its role is to liberate the mRNA from a stalled ribosome. Lineage: Bacteria; Candidatus Shapironibacteriota. The record is from RNAcentral.
GGGGAUGUAAAGAUCGACGGAAGAGCUCUUUAAAAACGGCAAGUCGACUUUGACUGGCAGUCGAAAACACAGUCAAAAAUAACUGUCAACAGCAAUGUUGGCCGCGACUACGCUUUAGCGUACGCUUAAUAAGCUUAAGCAAGCAUAGUUGCUGUCUUUAAGGCUUUCUCCCGAUGAAGCCUUACAGGCAUGAACAAAGUCGGGAUACAAUCCCGCCCCUUGACUAAAAGGCGGGGCCAAGUAUUUUUAGUCUUUGUCUUAACUUUCCGGUCAACAGGAUCAGGUUAAGACAAGAAACAAAAGUUGACUAAGCUUGUAGAAGUUUUUAAAAACUUUUUUCGGACUCCGGCUCAUUGCCGGACAUCUCCACAC